UUUGUUAAAGUUGUGUUAAGAAAUGUCAUUUAGUGAUCCAAGAUGUUACAUCAUGGAUCCAUAACAUCUAGGUGUUAGAAAAUCAAGUUUUAGAACUGUCUUAAAACCUUAAUUUUGUUGUCUAACAGCCAAUGUCAGGGCUCAUAGAUCUCAACUUGUUAAUGAUUUGUUGUGUUUGAAGUUAUAGACUUGUUCUUUGCCAUAAGAAGAGUAGACUGGAAGUGGAAUCACAUCCAUACCAUGUUUAGAUCUCAAGAUUUAAGCAGUCAAACAUGGCUGACCAACCAUGACCAAACUGUUCUGGAAAACCUAGAUUUGCCCAGAAUGGUCUGACAAGCUUUUCUAAGCCUUAGAUCUUGUUGUGUGUUAAUAUUUUGUCCAUGUUGUUGUUUUGUUGUUGUAGUCUGAUAUGUAGACUACAUAUUAGAGUCACUAGAUCACUUAGAUCAUAACCGGAAUGAAAGAUAAUCUCAGUCAAACCAGCGUUGACCACCAGUUUUUGACGAAAUCUGGAAAACCCAGAUUUCUCAAGAACAGCCCCUGACCCCUACUUUGACCGACCUAAAUUUUCCUUUGAUGUUGUUGUUAGACUGUUCUGAUGUUAUCAACUUAUACCCUGACAUGUAUACUUCAUGUGUGAACUCUUAGAUCACACAAAGCGAACCUGGAAUUCAAGUUAUAAAGAUCUAAAGUGGGUCACUAGCAAUUGUUCUUCAUUUCUGGAAAACCCAGAAAUGAAGAACAGCUUUGUCAGAGUUUUUGAAGGCUUAGAUAUCUCUGUUGUGAUGUUGUUUGGCUAGGAAUCUUGAUGGGAAUUAUAGUAUUACAUCAAUACUUCACUAUCAACACUUUAGUCAACCCAGAAACAUU
RNAcentral lists this long non-coding RNA (870 nucleotides) under Panax ginseng (ginseng). RNAcentral's name for it is "long non-coding RNA (PGIN_LNC002575)". The record is from RNAcentral. Lineage: Eukaryota; Viridiplantae; Streptophyta; Magnoliopsida; Apiales; Araliaceae.